This 2124-nucleotide long non-coding RNA is filed under the name Canis lupus familiaris (dog). RNAcentral's name for it is "lncRNA (ENSCAFG00040011707.1)". The record is from RNAcentral. Lineage: Eukaryota; Metazoa; Chordata; Mammalia; Carnivora; Canidae.
GGGAAACUCUGCGCUGCCACAGUCCAUCCACCUCUAAGACAAGUUAGAGGCAAGACUGAGCACCUCAGACAUCUUAUUGCUAGUUGAAUCUCACCUCCAGGGAGACCACUGCAAUUCUACAGGAGCAACGGGCAGUUUGUCCAGCCUGGAGAAAGCCAGGGGAAAGCAUAGGACAUCCCUGCAGUCUGGGGGUCCUUCGGCUUCUGUGAUGCGCGGUGCAGAGGCAGGAGAGCGCUGCAAACCCGCAGCCCGGGGGGGUGGGGGGAGUGUGUGUGGGGGUGUGGGGGGCGGAGGGGGCUCCCCCCUCCCCGCCCCACACUAACACCUGGUCCCUUCUCCGCUCGGUCAGGGGCCUGGCUGCGCCACUGCUCAGCGCCCCGGCUUAGGCAAGAAUUGGAGCAACUGGGGGAACUGGCGAGGCCUGUCGAUACCCUCUGCCCACCUUUCUCCUCUGCACCAGUUCUCUCAUCUCCACAUUUUCCAACUAUCAACUGCUUCCUAGCUUUGAAAGAGUUUUCUCCCCUGUGGACGGGCCUGUGCCAGUGUUAAUAAAAGUUUUGCUACUUUUGUGCCUCUCUCUGCUGACACCAUCUCAAGAGAAAUAACACAGAGGAGAACUGUUUCUAAGAGGAAAAAGGAAAAGCCAAGGAGAAUUAAGGUAAACUUAAGACACUCAUCUUUUGGAGAUCUCUCAGCUCCCACAAUCAAGAUGAACUGCUCCCCCCUUAUGCCCUCUUUUCCCAAUCAUUGUUACAAUCUAUUGUGGACAGACCUGCUCCAUUUUUAUCUGCGUCUGUCUUCCAGAAAUCAUGUGGAUGAUAAGAAAAUGGUGGAAAGAGCAUGGUGACAAGUCCAAGGGCAGCCAGAAGGAUGACUUUGAAAGUUUGAGGGUAAGAAGAGUCAGUUUUUUAAGGGGUAUUUCAGAAAAGGAAGUAAAAAUAGGAAGAAUGGAAAAAGCUGGAGAGAUGCUGCUUUGCCAUUGUUAACAAAAUUCAGUUAGUUCUAGGGAAUCACAGGCCAGCAAUUUAUGUUGUAAAGGAAGGUUAUAUUUUCUUUCUAGGAGUAGAAAAUAAAACAAAUUAUGCACAUUUUCCAAAAAAUCUAAAAGGAAUCUGUAAGCCUAAUAAAAAGAUUCAGUUUUUUUUAACACAUUUAAUUACCAAAUUAUGACAGUGUGACAUAACAAACAAUAGUUCACAAUUUUUCUUUUUCUUUUUUUUUUUUUUUUAAUAGUUCACAAUUUUUCUUAAGCUUAGUAUGAGCUAGUCAUUAUUUAAGUGUAUUGUUUGGAUUACUCCCAUCUUCUACAUGAGGAAACUAAAAUUAAAAAAAAAAAAAAAACCUUCCAAAGUGUUCAAAUUUAUAUAAUUAGUAAAUGAUGGAACCAUGCGAACCCCCACAACCUACUAAAGACCCUACACUCUAAAGCUGGAUUAGCGAAUAGAGGGGAACUCCAAAAUAAAGAUUUGGGUCUAUAGGGAAUAUGGAAUUGUGCAACCUUAAUAUUCUAUCUAUGGCUCUACUAGAUUCUCCAAAAUUGACUUCUGGUUAAUUUCAUUGAUGCCAUCUUUAGGCAAGCCAAAUAAAACUGUAGAAAAAAAGAGAAAAGAUCACCAAGAAAGGGUAGUAGAGAUAGGUAGGAAGGUAGGAAACUAGCCAGCUGUGCUCCCAUGGCCAUGAUUGCAUUUGACCAAAAGAGAUUGACACAAAAAGGGUGCCUGGGUGGCUCAGUCAGUUAAGUGUCUGCCUUCAACUUAGGUCAUGAUCCCAGAGUCGUGGAAUCCAGCCCAGUAUCAAGCUCCCUGCUCAGUGGAGAAUCUGCUUCUCCCUCUAUUGUCUGCUCUGCUUAUGUUCUCUCUCUCUCUCAAAUAAAUAAAAUAUUAAAGAAAAAAAAGAGAGAGAGAGAGACAUUUACACACAAUGGAGCAAAGGAUGACUAAAGGUGUUUGCCAAAGACACACAGAGCAUUGCAAAGUUGCCAGAUAGUGAAAAUGUUCACUUUGACAAGGUGCCAUUUUUGAGGUAGAAAGAGAAUAGUUUGCUCUAGAAAAACCAAGCUGCCUCAGUCUCUCUAAAGAGGAGGAUAUAGGGAACUCCUUGGUGCCAUUCACAAGUCGCAGAGUA